Molecule: ribosomal RNA, 496 nt
Filed under: uncultured bacterium
Lineage: Bacteria
Description: partial 16S ribosomal RNA
Rfam family: Bacterial small subunit ribosomal RNA
Source: RNAcentral
ACGAACGCUGGCGGCGUGCCUAAUACAUGCCAGUUGAGCGCUGAAGAUUGGUGCUUGCCCCAAUUUGAAGAGCAGCGAACGGGUGAGUAACGCGUGGGGAAUCUGCCCUUGAGCGGGGGACAACAUUUGGAAACGAAUGCUAAUACCGCAUAACAACUUUAAACAUAAGUUUUAAGUUUGAAAGAUGCAAUUGCAUCACUCAAAGAUGAUCCCGCGUUGUAUUAGCUAGUUGGUGAGGUAAAGGCUCACCAAGGCGAUGAUACAUAGCCGACCUGAGAGGGUGAUCGGCCACAUUGGGACUGAGACACCGCCCAAACUCCUACGGGAGGCAGCAGUAGGGAAUCUUCGGCAAUGGACGAAAGUCUGACCGAGCAACGCCGCGUGAGUGAAGAAGGUUUUCGGAUCGUAAAACUCUGUUGGUAGAGAAGAACGUUGGUGAGAGUGGAAAGCUCAUCAAGUGACGGUAACUACCCAGAAAGGGACGGCUAACUACGUG